GGACAACCUGCCCUUAGGACGGGGAUAAACCCGGGAAACUGGGUAUAAUACCCGAUAGGUCUCGAUUGCUGGAAUGCAUCGAGAUUUAAAGCUCCGGCGCCUAAGGAUGGGUCUGCGGCCUAUCAGGUAGUAGUGGGUGUAGCGUACCUACUAGCCUACGACGGGUACGGGUUGUGAGAGCAAGAGCCCGGAGAUGGAUUCUGAGACACGAAUCCAGGCCCUACGGGGUGCAGCAGGCGCGAAAACUUUACAAUGCUGGCAACAGCGAUAAGGGAACCUCGAGUGCCAGGUUACAAAUCUGGCUGUCGAGAUGCCUAAAAAGCAUUUCAUAGCAAGGGCCGGGCAAGACCGGUGCCAGCCGCCGCGGUAACACCGGCGGCUCGAGUGGUAACCGUUAUUAUUGGGUCUAAAGGGUCUGUAGCCGGCCGGAUAAGUCUCUUGAGAAAUCUGGCAGCUUAACUGUCAGGCUUUCAGGAGAUACUGUCUGGCUCGAGGCCGGGAGAGGUGAGAGGUACUUCAGGGGUAGGGGUGAAAUCUUGUAAUCCUUGAAGGACCACCAGUGGCGAAGGCGUCUCACCAGAACGGACCUGACGGCAAGGGACGAAAGCUAGGGGCACGAACCGGAUUAGAUACCCGGGUAGUCCUAGCCGUAAACGAUACUCGCUAGGUGUCGGCCACGGUGCGACCGUUGUCGGUGCCGUAGGGAAGCCGUGAAGCGAGCCACCUGGGAAGUACGGCCGCAAGGCUGAAACUUAA
RNAcentral lists this ribosomal RNA (756 nucleotides) under uncultured archaeon. Its description in RNAcentral is "bacterial SSU rRNA". It matches the Rfam family "Archaeal small subunit ribosomal RNA", at positions 102 to 859 of the family's 1478-position model. The record is from RNAcentral. RNAcentral also lists the same sequence under 2 other names.